CACAAACCUCAUGAUCGCUUGGUUUAUAUAUAACUACUCUACUGCCCUGUGCUACCGGAAAAGUUAACGCACAUAACGGUAAUGGAGUUCCCGAAUCGCAUUUCCGGUUGCCGCUUGCGAGACUCUAUACACGGUCUCGUUUCGAGGAGUUGGGAGGCAAUGGUGGGAAAUAGAGGCAAGUUGAAGGAUUUUUACAUUCCGAAUUACAUACUUGUGGGCGGGGCGGUGCCGAAGAUCAAAUUUGCACCUGCGUGUCCGGUGAUAGUGUUUGUUAAUACUAGAAGUGGUGGUCAGCUUGGAGGUGAACUUGUUCUUACAUAUAGAGCCCUUCUCAAUGAGCACCAGGUAUUUGACUUGGGACAAACGGCUCCUGACAAGGUGCUUCACAAGCUCUAUGUUGCUUUGGAAACACUCAAGGGCAGAGGAGAUGUUUUGGCUGCUGAUAUCCAGAAGAGGUUAAGAAUAAUUGCUGCAGGUGGAGAUGGUACAGCUGGCUGGCUCCUCAGUGUAGUUUCUGAUCUUAAACUGCCUAACCCACCUCCAAUCGCCACGAUGCCAUUGGGAACUGGAAAUAAUGUCCAUUUCGCGUUUGGAUGGGGAAAGAAAAAUCCUGGGACAGACCGACAAUCUGUGCAGUAUUUCUUGAACCAAGUGAAGACAGCAAAGGAAAUGAAAAUUGACAGCUGGCACAUCAUUAUGAGAAUGAGGACUCCAAAGGAAGGUUCAUGUGAUCCUAUUGCACCUCUGGACCUACCGCAUUCUUUGCAUGCAUUUCAUCAGGUCUCCAAAACUGAUACACUCAAUCUGGAGGGCUUCCAGACAUUUCGUGGGGGAUUUUGGAACUACUUUAGCAUGGGAAUGGAUGCUCAAAUAUCAUAUGAUUUUCAUGCUCAGAGAAAGUUGCACGCUGAAAAGUUUAACAACCAGUUAAUUAAUCAAAGUACCUACUUCAAGCUUGGAUGUACUCAAGGAUGGUUCUUUGCUUCUCUAAUGCAUCCUUCUUCAAGGAAUAUAGCACAUCUGACAAAGAUUAAGAUCAUGAAAAGACAAGGUCAUUGGGAGGAGCUUCACAUAUCUCCCAGCAUUAGGUCUAUUGUUUGCCUCAAUUUACCGAGUUUUUCUGGUGGUCUUGAUCCAUGGGGGAAGCCAAAUAGAAAGAAACUGCGAUAUCGGGAUUUAACUCCUCCAUAUGUGGAUGAUGGCCUUCUUGAGAUUGUUGGCUUUAGAGAUGCCUGGCAUGGGCUUGCGUUACUUGCUCCUAAGGGACAUGGGACUCGUCUUGCACAAGCACACAGAAUACGUUUUGAGUUUUGCAAGGGCGCAGUCGACCAUACAUUCAUGAGAAUUGAUGGGGAACCAUGGAAACAACCUCUUCCAGUUGACGAUGACACGGUCGUUGUCGAAAUUUCUCACUUUGGCCAAUUAAGCAUGCUUGCCACGCCAUCGAAGCGAUCCAAAAGUAUAUCUGACCCUGCGUCACCAGCUAGCUCCCAUGAUGACGAUGAUGAUAGUAGUAAUGAGGAAGAAUAUCCAGAAGAUAGUGGAGAGAGAAGGAAGUUUGGUGCAUCUGACACAUUUAAAAUCCCGGACGGGAUUGACAUUGCUCAUUUCAGUUGAGCCUCUAACUAAUCACAUGCUCUCUGUGAAUAGGCCUCAGUUUGAUAUAUCACCGUCCGGACAGUCUGUACAAAAUAUUCUCUCCUUGCCUGUUCAGCAAAACUCUCUGGUAGUUAUCAGCAAUAGAAAGAGAGCUGUAUUGCUCAGUUUGGGAUUAAUAGCUUCAUCUUUUUAGUUCUUACUUCCUACUAAGCUCAGCCAGAUAAUGGGGGCAUGUAUUAGUCUAUAACUGCAUCACUGAGGUCAGGAGUUAUGCAUGCAUUACAUUGUGUCCUCACAAAGAUGGCUUAAUCUCCAUUAUCAGAUAAAGAGAUUCAAAAUUCGAUAACAAAGGAUGUAAUAGCAAAAUGUUAUGGUGGAAACACUAGAAGGAAAAGAGAAUGCCUAGAAAGCAGGCAAUAUUGAGAAAGGAGGUUCUGAAUAGCAGCAUAGGCUUUCCACUUCCUGCGAGGGUGGCCAUCCUUCACUUGGAAAGUCUUACAAGGCCUUCAGGAAGAGACACAUUGUGUGGAACAUACUUUGUGUACGGGCAGCUUUCUUUGGUGUGAUUAACCAUCGGACCACAAAGCCGACAGCAUUGAUGGUCAUCGUCGCUAUGACAAAGAUCACUCACAGCACCUGUACUCUUCUUACUGGUAGUACCACCACCGGCGUGAUUGAAUUCUACGGCGCCCCCUCGAGUUUUCCUCCUUUUAUAUGUAUCCCUGCACAUCCUUAUUAGCCAGAUCACCUAUUCUUAACUCUCCAUAGAGUUGUACCACCCUGAUUUUUACCUCCAUGAAUAUUGAUUUACUUGGAGUUUCCCUCCACCAUGAGGUCUCAUUGGUUAGCGGAAAGUAAAGUAAUUUCGUUGUC
RNA transcript from Rosa chinensis, 2472 nucleotides. It is a transcript of the gene named diacylglycerol kinase 5, with no coding region annotated. Lineage: Eukaryota; Viridiplantae; Streptophyta; Magnoliopsida; Rosales; Rosaceae. The record is from RefSeq and is a predicted model, not a curated record. The transcript is spliced from 14 exons.